UGGAUCGCAGUGGCUUUAUAUCUUUGUUGCUUUAGGAUCGUGAAGCAACAAACCUCAUUGGGAAGUCUGCUAAUGAGUUAAAUGAAAGUUCAAUAGAGACUUCUGGUGCUGUUGAGGAGUGUUCUUAUCCAGUGGAGUUGUAUGGCAUUCUUGACAAAAAAGUCAUGUUUAAAGUGACUAUUAAGAGCUCCAACAUUAAAGUGCAUGCGGAAGUUUAUAAUGUUGUUAAAAUCAGCGAUGACGAUAACCUUAUACGGCAAUAUAGUAAUUCUCCACAAGCAGAUACAUUCACUGACCUUGAUUUUAAGUGUGAAUAACACAUGAUGCAGACACAACUUUCAAGGAUUUAAUGGCUGAUAAUGAGAUGACUUCUCCUGCAAUGACCCCUGCCAAAAGAAGUAGAGAAGAGGAUGGAUCAUUUAUAGUAGAGUUUGUGAUGAUCUUGCACAAUUUUCAAGUAACAAGGUUAAAAGAGUGAUUAACAACAACCCAAUAAAAUCCCACUAAUGGUGUUUGGGGAGGAUAGUGUAUACGCAAACCUUACCCUGAUCCCGAAGGAGUAGAGAGCCUAUUUUCGAAAGAUCCUCGGCAACUCCCACGAUUAAACAGGAGAAAAAUCCAUGAAUGACUGCAUUUACUUCAUUUUAAAUGACAUUGUUUGUAUAUUUGCAUUAACAAGUACUUUGGUACAAUUUGAUGUACUUUUAUUUGUAUUUUAAUUUGGUUUCUACCAUUUAGAAUCAUGUUUUAAUAUCUGAAAUUAGUUGACUCUUUG
Molecule: long non-coding RNA, 775 nt
Organism: Nicotiana attenuata
Lineage: Eukaryota; Viridiplantae; Streptophyta; Magnoliopsida; Solanales; Solanaceae
Exons: 4
Source: RefSeq, a predicted model, not a curated record